Fukomys damarensis (Damara mole-rat) is the source of this 467-nucleotide long non-coding RNA. RefSeq lists it as uncharacterized. Lineage: Eukaryota; Metazoa; Chordata; Mammalia; Rodentia; Bathyergidae. The transcript is spliced from 3 exons. The record is from RefSeq and is a predicted model, not a curated record.
GUCCUUGGCCAGGAUGGUAUCAUAUCCUGCCAUCACAAGGGAGAGAAGGACGAGACGACUCAACGCCCCACCUGAGGCCCCAGCGUCCGGCAGCAGUCCCAGCUCCUGCCCUCCUCGGAAUCAGACUUUUCCUCCCAACACUUCACUUCAUUCAGAAGAGAUCCACUUUCUAAAUGCCUUGGUGAUAGCUCGGUGCUGGUGAUGGCGAGGUGCAGCCUGGCCUGGCAGGGAAGCAGACCUGCCCUUGGUGCUUUAGUGCAGGGACACACGUCUGCAACGGCAGGGACUCAUCGCAGGAGUUGGUGACAGGGAGUGAGGAAGACUGGGGAAGGCUUCCUCCACCUCCUCCACCCAGAACCUCAACGCACAGCCCUCGGGUCCCCCAAAUGUCCCUGUCUUCUCCCACAUGCCUGCCCCUGCCGUACCUAGGGCACAUUCCUUAUCACAUUUUAUUAUUUUUUAUCUAU